GUGGGGAAUCUUCCGCAAUGGACGAAAGUCUGACGGAGCAACGCCGCGUGAGUGAAGAAGGUUUUCGGAUCGUAAAGCUCUUUCGUUAGGGACGAACGUGCUCUUUGUGAAUAAUGAGGAGUAAUGACGGUACCUAAAUAAGAAGCCACGGCUAACUACGUGCCAGCAGCCGCGGUAAUACGUAGGUGGCAAGCGUUGUCCGGAAUUAUUGGGCGUAAAGCGCGCGCAGGCGGGAUAUCAAGUCUGUCUUAAAAGUGCGAGGCUCAACCUCGUGAGGGGACAGAAACUGGUAUUCUUGAGUGUCGGAGAGGAAAGUGGAAUUCCAAGUGUAGCGGUGAAAUGCGUAGAGAUUUGGAAGAACACCAGUGGCGAAGGCGACUUUCUGGACGAUGUCUGACGCUGAGGCGCGAAAGUGUGGGGAGCAAACAGGAUUAGAAACCCCAGUAGUCC
This 450-nucleotide ribosomal RNA is filed under the name uncultured bacterium. RNAcentral describes it as "partial 16S ribosomal RNA". It matches the Rfam family "Bacterial small subunit ribosomal RNA", at positions 354 to 796 of the family's 1533-position model. The record is from RNAcentral.